Molecule: non-coding RNA, 28 nt
Filed under: Cricetulus griseus (Chinese hamster)
Lineage: Eukaryota; Metazoa; Chordata; Mammalia; Rodentia; Cricetidae
Source: RNAcentral
AGCAGACCUCGGCCGGAUGACCUGGAGA